RNAcentral lists this ribosomal RNA (545 nucleotides) under Cameraria sp. CLV-2. RNAcentral's name for it is "eukaryotic LSU rRNA". The record is from RNAcentral. Lineage: Eukaryota; Metazoa; Arthropoda; Insecta; Lepidoptera; Gracillariidae.
GAACGGAGAGAUUCAUCGUUAUUCCGCGGCGCGUCUCGCGUCGUUUCGAUAUCGUCACCCUCGGGUGGCGGUACGGCGUUCGUGUCGCGCGCGUCCGUGGACGGCGUGCACUUCUCUCUUAGUAAGACAUCGCGACCCGUUCGAUGUUGGUCUCGCGCCCUGCCCGGGCGCCCUGCGGCACUCGUGCCUAUGGACCGGGCGGCGGCCGGCCUACUGUCGGACGGUAUCAUGAUUUGAACCGCGCACGCGCUCUGCGCGUCCGGCACGACGCAAGGCGCCGCCGUGUGGGGGUCCUGCCGCGAGGCGGUCCUCGAUACGGUGGUGUCUGUUGUCGCAGCCGUUAGUCUCGGACUGUGCGCGUCUCGGUCUGCGAUGAUUCAGUUUCGGGCACUCGCAGGACCCGUCUUGAAACACGGACCAAGGAGUCUAGCAUGUGUGCGAGUCAUUAAGAUUUGAAAACUGAAAGGCGCAACGAAAGUGAAGGUGUGUGCUCGUCACGCGCUCAGGGAGGAUGGGGUGCGAUCUCGGUAGUACUCUCGCACUCC